AGGGAAUAGAUACCCGGGUAGUCCUGGCAGUAAACGGUGCACGUUUGGUGUGGGCGCAAUCGACCGCGUCCGCGCCGGAGCUAAACGCGUUAAACGUGCCGCCUGGGAAGUACGGUCGCAAGAUUAAAAACUCAAAGAAAAUUGACGGGGACCCGCACAAGCGGUGGAGUAUGUGGCUUAAUUCGAUGCAACGCGAAGAACCUUACCUGGUCUUGACAUGCAUUGUGUCUCCGGUGAAAGCCGGAUAGGGUAGCAAUACCCGCUUUGCACAGGUGCUGCAUGGCUGUCGUCAGCUCGUGUCGUGAGAUGUUGGGUUAAAGUCCCGCAACGAGCGCAACCCCUGUGAUUUGUUGCCACCGGCUUAUGCCGAGCACUCGAAUCAGACUGCCUCGAUC
This 395-nucleotide ribosomal RNA is filed under the name uncultured bacterium. Its description in RNAcentral is "bacterial SSU rRNA". It matches the Rfam family "Bacterial small subunit ribosomal RNA", at positions 773 to 1159 of the family's 1533-position model. The record is from RNAcentral.